Oreochromis aureus is the source of this 6081-nucleotide long non-coding RNA. The record is from Ensembl. NCBI's taxonomy places the organism in Eukaryota, Metazoa, Chordata, Actinopteri, Cichliformes, Cichlidae.
CUGUGCGCGGGGGCCUCUGUGGCGCAUGUGGACGGGCGAGCCAACGCACCGCAGGAAUGUGUGCAGAUCAGAGGCAAACGCACAUGCUCGGGCUUUUACUAUGUAUGUGGUGCUCGAUCGUUUUCAAGUCCUCGGGCAGUGUAGUAGAGACUACGGGGUCACUUUGCUGUGCCGCUGUCGGAAACCUAUAAUUGGAAACGAGCCAGUGACGCGCUGAAAAUAACCAGGUUAGCACUUAGUACCGGUCCAUUUUGGGGAGGGCCCAACACGAGGGCGCAGCACCAUAUAUCAGCUCUUUCCAGCUGUUUGGGAAUAUCCUGCUCUAGAAAAGCUGCAGCACGGCGGCAGCAGCAGCGGCGCAAGCAGGGUGCUUUUUCUCCCGCCCCCCCUUCCAGAAUGGAUAUUGGGUGAGUGACUGGGUGCGCACGGGGGGAUCUCUUGUUGGGAAACGCAGAAGCUCUCUCUCCCUCUCUCUUUUUUUUCUUGAAGGGAGGGAGGGCGGGAGGGGAGGUGGGAGACUGGCACAAGGCUCGACACUGUUGCGUCUGCAUGUUUUUUCUCCUUGGACAGACAGGAAAAAAGAUGGACCAGGGGGACUGUCCGACUUAUUCCACAAGAGAGUUCCCGGCCCCCACCCCCCCAAAAGGAUAAUCUUGCUCAAUUUGGGAUGCGUGCAACACCAAGUGAUCACAUAUUACUUGGGCGGCGGUGGUGCUGGUGGUGGAUGGACGGUGAAGUUCAACUUCGCAUGCAGACGCGAUCUCCUCCAGGCAGCCAGACAAACCCACCAGACAGUCGGCGCGUAUUACGUGAAGAGGUCUCCAUAUGGGCUACGGGAUGCGAACACCUGCCCGGUACGCAGGUAACUACAAUCCGACGGUGUCGCCUACUUCUUCGAACACCGACAGGCAGCAGAUCAGCAGUGAUUCUACACCCCACCAUUUGAGAACCACUGGUUUAAGCCAGCUUUCUUCUGAUUGGCUUCUGCUCGCAAACAAAAAGUCUGAACAGCAGGAAGUGAAGAAGCAUUUGAACCAGAAAACGGGUAAUUACAUCAGACUUGUUCUACUUUGCAAUAAAUAAAUAAAAGAAUUAAAAAAAACAUUUUUAACUGUUCUUUGCUGUUUUACCCACACAUGAGUUAUGUUCAGAAACCACUUUUUAGUACUUUGAAAAAGAUACUUGAGAACAGCCCCCAUAUUUUAAAGACAUACUCUGUAUUCUGAGAUAAGCCUCGUGACCUUUGAUAUGUGAUUGAUGUGUUUGGACGUGUUUUGUUUACCGUAGCACACAGAAAUUAUACUUUGCUGCCUAGCAGGCAUUUUCAUCUAAGAGUUACGUGAGUUUCUCUUACUUCAUAUUGCUACUGGGUCCACUUUCUGUUUAUCAGGGAACAUUUCCUCACAUAAAUCACCCACUCUUUAAAAAUAAAUCCCCCAAAACAUACCUUUUCUUCUAUUUUGACUGUAUGUGUAUUAAACAUAUGGGAUAUAAAUUUUAAAUAUAUACAUUUUUGACUUUGUCUAUUACAUAUUUUACAGAGCUAAGCUGGCUACUAACCCUUGUUUUAUAAUACUGCUACUUAAACUAAAUAUAUCGAUUUCAGAAUUAAGUAUAGCAACUUUUAAUUGAACUCCUUGUCAGAUAUUAUUAUUAAUCUUUUAAUUUGUUUUUUAUGUACUUUUAGAAAGUUGAAUAGAAAGAGCCAGAGAUAGAAUUUAAGAUUUAAGAGGUGCCACAUAGUUGCCUAUUCUCUAAGGCAGAGCUGGCAGGCCUGCAGCAGCUCUAACAGUGGCCUUGCUGCCAUUAAUAAUGGGAAAAUGGCAAACACUGUACAAAUCAACUGGCAUGAAUCUCUGUGCCUCUCUACAGCACAGUCUCUCUGAACCUAUUGUGGAGCUAACAUGGCUGCCAGCAAUAAGACAUGAUGACAUUAUCCUGCUUUCUUGCUGGAGGCCUCCCAGUAAGGAGUUCUUGUGAACACAUCUUCCGAGUGACAUGGAGACGGGCCUGCAGCCACCAGCGGAGCUGAGCCGAGCCGCUUUAGAGCCCUGCUGAGACCUGCCAGGCCCACAGCUUUCCCUGCCAGGGGCCUCGCUCGAAGUCAAAGUGAGUUACAACCCAUGCUCUUGACACACACAUGCUAAUGCAGAAGCAAGCACCCAGUAUGUAGGCAUGCAGGCGCACGCACAGGUGAAAUACAUAGAGGAAUAUAUGUGUGCAACCAUAAACCAGUACAGAGGCAAAGAAAUAACUCUGUUCGUGCAAAUAUAUGCACACUCAUACAUAAUGAUACCCCUCUAAAAGAGAUUGUAGCUCCACUGGACCACUAGAUAGACUACAUUUACAUACAUGCAAUCACACACAAUCAUAGAUUUGGUAUUUGCAGCCUAAAUAAAUGAUAUCCCUGCUUCUACCCAUGCAGUAAAGUGAGCAUGUCGUCCAACAGGGGCUCUAUCUGUCAGGGGUAGUUUGAGAUCAAGGUCCAGCAGCUGCUGGAUCAGCUGGAUUGAUCUGUCUGGGUAAACAUGAGGACUGAAAAUGAGCGUGUUUGUGAUUAAAGGCUUAACAGGAAGUGUGUGUGUGUGACAGUGAGAGAGAGAGGGAGCUUCAGUAUGCUGUUUAUACCCUGUACAAAAGAGAGCACUGUGUAUUACCUCCAUGCAUAUGUCAUAUACAUGUGUGUGUGUGUUAUAUUGUGCUUAUAUCCAGCUCCAUUUAAAAAAAAUGUUUGGAUACUGCUGGAGUCAAUUUAUAGCAACAUCAUCCUUAUCUUAUACUGGGCAUUACUGGUGCAGCCCCUUAGUUCAUCCUCCUUUCUUCUGAUUGGCUGCCCCUCGUUAAUAGAAGUCAGUGGGCGGGGGUUCUGUGCUCACAAGCCAGAGCUAUGUACCAUUAACUGGUAGCGACAGAUUGCUGCCCCUCACUGAGCCUGGUUCUGACAGGGGUUUCUUCCUGUUAAAUGGGAGUUUUUCCUUCCCACUGUUGCCAAAUGCUUGUUCAAAGGUUAAUGUUUGAAUAUUGGGAUUUUCUCUGUUUUCUGGCCUUUACUUUACAAUACAUCGUGCUUCGAGCCGACGAAUGUGAUAUGGCAAGUUAAUUUACGCAACUGAACUGAAUUAAGAAAACCUCUCAAGCCAUUGUAACACAUUUUUGACAGAAAAUCAGGAAACUCAUAUUGGCCCUGGUUAAUGUUUUUCAUCGUGACUCACCUAAAAAGAGACAGUCUUCCAGAAAAUGGUUACCAAAAGUAUUUUCCUAACCAUAAUCACGUAGUUUUGGUGCCUAAGCAUAACAAAACUGCAAGCGAAAUUAAAAAAACAACUUAAAGUUGUGACUCAAGUUGUGACUCAACCUUUUCUGAGUUGUCACCAGAUAUCCAAAAUUAUACUGCGAAUUAGUGGAGACAUCAACGCCCCCCCCUCCAAACAAAGCGAAAAACAUGGCACAAAUCAGAUAGGUGGAAUACUCAUGGCCAUUUUUUAGAUACUGAGCAAAUGGACGAGAAUUUACUUAAAAUGUGGUUGUAGCCACAUUAAUUAUCUUGCAAAGUGCCUUUAGAUACAGAAUAAAUGUGUCAGUCCCUCUGCUCAUUACAGCCAAGCCGUAUCUGAAAAGACCCUAUUAAGCUCUCACAUGAGGGCUGACCAACAGUUUCAUGCUGGCUAUAUAUGAAUGUAUCUCACAGCAAUAAUAUAUAGCGAGUGCAUGCGUAGCUAUAUGGUUUGUGUCUAAUCCCAGGAAUGUUGAUGUGGUCCAGAGUUUAAUAAAUGGAGGCGUGGGUGGGGAGUAAGAGUCCCCUGGAGCAGAGUUAAGGUCUUAAUGUACUAAAAAGCCUUGACCCAGACCAUAUACACCCACUCACAGGGACACAGCAUCUUCUCUCCAGUCCAGCACAUUCUUUCAUACUUUGGCUACGCAGCAAAGAAAUAUGCACUUGGACAUACACGGAGAUAUGCAAGCACAACAUGGACGAUAUGACCUUAAACAAUAAACAUGCGCAAAAUGUACCGAGUGGCUCAAACACACACACACACACACACACACACACACACACGAACACAUCCUUGUUGACUUGUGUUGGUCGUUAUUCAAUGAGGAGCACAUGACUUAAAUCGGGUGUGGUGCAUGACAUCUUAUCGAACAAAAGCGUCCCACAGAGAGAGCUGAUGGGGGAGACGAUCCCUCCCCGCUUGUCCUGUCUGUUGGGAGUCAUGAGGUCUCCAUCUCGUUUGCCACGCUGUGUCUCGUGGUUCAAAGUCCAUAAAAUGUUCAAGUUAAAAAAAAAAUCCCCUGCUUUUAAAACUUUCAGCUGCGGUGGUGUGUUGUCAAUAAAUCAGCUGCUUUCCCUGAGGAUAGCAACGUUAUCUCCGGGAGGGAGAGGAAGUGCAAAACACUGCAUGUUUUUCAAGAAUGAAGCCUUUGAAUUUCUUGUUGUGUCCUAUAAAUGUCUCACCUUGAGGGUCUGAUGUCUCGCAGUGAGAAUGGAGGGCUUGUAUUCUACACAUUCAACCCGUCGCUUCUACAUGCUUCUGCAGUCAUGCAGAAAUAAACUCAAGUAUGUUGAUCACAGAAGCUUUAUUGUGUUUUGUCUCAUUAACGAUCUCUUUUAAGUGUCUUGCUGAUAAACUUGUCAUUUAACUGUCAAAAUCAUGACGGCUACCUCCAUGUUAGAUCUUACAGGGAAUAUUUCUUCAUUUAAGAGAUAUGCCAGUUUCUCAAAUGCAUUGUAGCAUCGAACUUUUCUAACAUUAACCAGCGGAGCUGAAUAUUAGAAUGGAAAUAUCCAUAUCAGUUGGACCAGACAUUACCCAGGCAGCCUCCUUGUAGAAAGUAAAGUCCAAAUGAACACAUGUGUGAUUCACAGAGUGAGUUUCCAUCACGUCCUGCCUCCUGCGCAGUCUAUCCAGUCGCCACUCUUCGGCCAAACGUAAACUGCACAAUGCAUUUCAAGUGUCACUAUGCAUCUGUCACAUGUGAGAAAAGCCAACUGUACAAAGUGCAGACCUGAUUCUCUCAACAUUAUCUGGAAUUUAUGUGUAAAACUUGCUAUAGUCUCAUCAACCAAAGUUGCGCGUCACCAUAUAUUAGCUUCAGUGAUAAGAUUAUUUAUCACAACAAAUCUUUGCAACUGUUGCAACUGUUUUGGAGUCCAGUAAGGUUAAUACAGGGGAAAUACUGCGAGUUGCAUACAAAAGCAGGUUGUUCAAGUGCUUCUGUGAGUGUUAAAAUGGCUAAAAAAAAUCUGAAUUCCACAAUGACAAGAGAAGUGAAAAGAUGAUUCUCAAGCUUACUCCUGAACAUUCCCCUUCUCUUUCUAUCUAGCUGAAAAAAGCUUGAAAAGUGUGAGCAAACUGGUGAAAUCAAGCUGAGCAGAAAGGGGUAAACAGGACAUAUGUGUGCAUGUGUCUGUAUAAUCCCAUCACAAGAUAGUGUCGUUGAGAGCCAUUGCCCCGAGGCAGCUGGCCAUAGUCCGUCAAGGGAACUUUAAAUUAGAGUAAUGCUCACUAACACAAGGUUAGACAGUUCAUCUGCUGGAGAGAUAUGAAAAGGGGGGAUUGUCUGGUGCUGUGCUGAUGGCCCAGAGAAAAUAGAGUGAAGAAGUUUUGAAUCCCAGGCCUAUACGUGGACAUGGCUAAGUGUAGAUUGAAUUGAAGAACUGGAGGAUGAAUUGAGGCAGAUGCAGACAGCGUUGCAGAGACUGAGUCCUUUGAUAAUUGAUAAUGGCCUUGACAAAUGUAAGACAAUGUAAUAUUAAAAAAAGUGAAGUAAAAUAAAGUUUGUCAAAUGAUUUGUUUCUGGUUGUGUAAAAUGCUGAAUAAAGUUUGUUUAACACUAAAAUUAACUGUCUCUUUGUCCAUGUGCACAGAAUAUUUACUGUAUAACGUUUAAUUUAAAUGAUCAACAGUGUUAAUGUAUUAAAUGUCCCGACACGGCUGGGCACAGUUGCUUUCGGCAGACGAUACCCAAACAGGAGUAAACAGUGUAUUUUUUACGGACUACUUUAACCUGUGGAAUAAUACAAAUUUGGUGCUCUGACAUUGUACAUGUGGGACCAAUUAAAAAUAAACUACAGUGAAC